This 433-nucleotide ribosomal RNA is filed under the name uncultured bacterium. RNAcentral's name for it is "partial 16S ribosomal RNA". It matches the Rfam family "Bacterial small subunit ribosomal RNA", at positions 29 to 507 of the family's 1533-position model. The record is from RNAcentral.
AACGAACGCUGGCGGCAUGCCUAACACAUGCAAGUCGAACGAGACCUUCGGGUCUAGUGGCGCACGGGUGCGUAACGCGUGGGAACCUGCCCUUAGGUUCGGAAUAACUCCCCGAAAGGGGUGCUAAUACCGGAUAAUGUCUUCGGACCAAAGAUUUAUCGCCUUUGGAUGGGCCCGCGUUGGAUUAGCUAGUUGGUAGGGUAAAAGCCUACCAAGGCGACGAUCCAUAGCUGGUCUGAGAGGAUGAUCAGCCACACUGGAACUGAGACACGGCCCAGACUCAUACGGGAGGCAGAAGGAGGGAAUAUUGGACAAUGGGCGAAAGCCUGAGCCACCAAUGCCGCGUGAGUGAUGAAGGCCUUAGGGUUGUAAAGCUCUUUUACCCGGGAUGAUAAUGACAGUACCGGGAGAAUAAGCUCCGGCUAACUCCGUG